This 877-nucleotide long non-coding RNA is filed under the name Pan troglodytes (chimpanzee). Its description in RNAcentral is "long non-coding RNA NONPTRT005701". The record is from RNAcentral. Lineage: Eukaryota; Metazoa; Chordata; Mammalia; Primates; Hominidae.
UGGAGAGAAGGCCAUUCUGAGGUCAACUGAAACCUCACUUGAGGGGCAGUUCCGUAGAUAGGAAUGAGGAGAGAGUCAUGGCCACAGCCACCUGGCCAAGGAGAGAGGCCGUAACUGCCAGACAGAACCGAGGAUGGAGGGGCUUCAGCAGCACGAACAAUCCACACUCAGCAUGGGUCACUCUCUGGGACACACAUUUCCCUCUGGCUGAAAGGCUGAGCUGCUCCAGGGCCAACUGUGAGGUCAGACAGCUGCCCAGGGAUGUCUCCGGCCACUCAAGGGAAGAAGAGACCACUCACCCGUAAUUUCAACAGCAACAAAAGACCUGAGGUUCCACCAUCAGAACUUCACGCCCUAAGGAAGAUGCAGCAUUUCCUGUAAAAUGCAAGUGCUCCCAGGCAGAGGUAGCUCCUGAAGCCAUGAUCAGUUAUGUAUACCUUAGUGGCAGCUGAUUAAUAGACCCUUCCCAAGAGCCAGCUGACAGGAAGCACAUCGGGGUAAAAGAGAAGAUGAAAACUUGGGUGCCUGGAGGAAGGGAACAAAUGCGAGCAGGAGCAUGGUAAUAACAUAGAAACCCUGGGCCCCUUCCCCAGCUGUCAUGAAGGUGCCUGAGUGAUGGUCAGAGAGAUGACCGGAGAGGCCCACCCGGCCACCGCAGCAGCAGCAGCCAAGGCGGGACUAAGCCUCCACACCCCACAUCUCAUUCGUGGCCAGCCCGGGAUGCCUGCCUCUCCUGCCCUGUGGUGUUGCUGUCCUCAUAUGACCCUUCAGCCCCCGACAUGUGUCAGAUGCAUAUGUGAAUGAGACCAUCCUAGACCUGCUGAUAGCCCAUCACCCGGCUGACUGCUACUGAGUAACCUCUGCCAACUUCACGCCG